CAGUAGCCGCGGGAAUACAGAGGGUGCGAGCGUUAUUCGGAUUUACUGGGCGUAAAGCGUGCGUAGGCGGCUUCUUAAGUCGGAUGUGAAAUCCCUGAGCUUAACUUAGGAAUUGCAUUCGAUACUGGGAAGCUAGAGUAUGGGAGAGGAUGGUAGAAUUCCAGGUGUAGCGGUGAAAUGCGUAGAGAUCUGGAGGAAUACCGAUGGCGAAGGCAGCCAUCUGGCCUAAUACUGACGCUGAGGUACGAAAGCAUGGGGAGCAAACAGGAUUAGAUACCCCCGUAGUCCCUGUCUCUUAUAC
Molecule: ribosomal RNA, 301 nt
Filed under: uncultured bacterium
Lineage: Bacteria
Description: partial 16S ribosomal RNA
Rfam family: Bacterial small subunit ribosomal RNA
Source: RNAcentral